UGACUGGAUCGUGACAAAAU
This 20-nucleotide unclassified non-coding RNA is filed under the name Chlamydomonas reinhardtii. RNAcentral's name for it is "small RNA Cre_2895". The record is from RNAcentral. Lineage: Eukaryota; Viridiplantae; Chlorophyta; Chlorophyceae; Chlamydomonadales; Chlamydomonadaceae.